This 542-nucleotide small RNA is filed under the name Pongo abelii (Sumatran orangutan). RNAcentral describes it as "processed transcript". Lineage: Eukaryota; Metazoa; Chordata; Mammalia; Primates; Hominidae. The record is from RNAcentral.
UUUGGUUGGGUGUUGAGUUUGUUUCCUGUUCUUCCUCGUCAGCCCCGGGGAUGUUGCUCAUUUCUGGUCACCUUCUCCUCCAACUGUCCUUGCUGCCCCAGGAUGGGAGGAUGGAAGGAGACGUUCUCUUCCAGAUGGCUGAAGUCCACAGGCAGAUCCAGAAUCAGCUGGAAGAAAUGCUGAAGUCUUUUCACAACGAGCUGCUCACGCAGCUGGAGCAGAAGGUGGAGCUGGACUCCAGGUAUCUGAGUGCUGCGCUGAAGAAAUACCAGACUGAGCAAAGGAGCAAAGGCGAUGCCCUAGACAAGUGUCAGGCUGAGCUGAAGAAGCUUCGGAAGAAGAGCCAGGGCAGCAAGAAUCCUCAGAAGUACUCGGACAAGGAGCUGCAGUACAUCGACGCCAUUAGCAACAAGCAGGGCGAGCUGGAGAAUUACGUGUCCGACGGCUACAAGACCGCACUGACAGAGGAGCGCAGACGCUUCUGCUUCCUGGUGGAGAAGCAGUGCGCCGUGGCCAAGAACUCGGCAGCCUACCACUCCAAG